AGUAAUGUUGCGAUGAUCUGCUCUAGUUGUGUAAGAUAACCGCGGAAACCUGUGGCUAAGAGACUAGAAUGAGACGCAACCCUAUCAGUUUGUUGGUAGUGUAACGGACUACCAAGACUAUGACGGGUGACGGGAAAUCAGUGUUUGAUUCCGGAGAGGGAGCCUGAGAGAUGGCUCCCACGUCCAAGGAUGGCAGCAGGCGCGAAAAUUGUCCACUCUUUGUUGAGGAGACAGUUAUGAGGCGUGAUUGUAAGAGCGAAGAGUAAACAUCUUUGUGUAAUGCAACUAGAGGGCAAGUUUUGGUGCCAGCAGCCGCGGUAACUCCAACUCUAGAAGUGCCUAUUGUGGAUGCUGCAGUUAAAAAGUCCGUAGUCGUUGAUGCAAUUAAAAGGUGUAGAUCAAGUGCACCAAGUUUGUUAGUUGUGGCGGAGCGGACAGGGAGCAUGGUAUAGGUUGGCGAAGAAUGAAAUCUCAAGACCCAACCUGGACCAACUGAGGCGAAAGCGGUGCUCUUGUACGCGUCUGUGGAUCAAGGACGAAGGCUAGAGGAUCGAAAGUGAUUAGACACCGCUGUAGUUCUAGCAGUAAACUAUGCCGACAUUCUCUGUUGUUGAGACGGGGAGGGGAGAAAUCUUAGUUUUCGGGCUCUGGGGAUAGUACGCUUGCAAGAGUGAAACUUAAAGCGAAAUUGACGGAAGAUCACCACAAGGAGUGGAUUGUACUGCUUAAUUUGACUCAACACGGGAAAACUUACCAGGGCCAAGUCUCUCGUAGAUUGGCGACAUGAGAGGGGCAAGAGUGGUGCAUGGCCGUUGGAAAUUGAUGGGAUGACCUUUAGCUUAAGUGCUGUAACCAGUGAGAUCUUCUAGACAGGUGUCUUACUGACACAGGAAGGAGAAGGCUAUAACAGGUCCGUGAUGCCCUCAGAUGCCCUGGGCCGCAAGUGCAAUACAAUAUCCGUUUGAGCGACAUAAAUAUGCUUACGGAUGAGUAGGAUUAGCUCUUGUAAAUGAGCUAUGAAUGAGGAAUUCCUAGUAACUGUGUCUCAUCAAGGCACAGUGAAUGCGUCCCUGUUCUUUGUACACACCGCCCGUCACUAUUGCGGAUGGCAAUCAAGAUGAAGAGCCUAG
This 1130-nucleotide ribosomal RNA is filed under the name Paranucleospora theridion. RNAcentral describes it as "SSU rRNA". It matches the Rfam family "Microsporidia small subunit ribosomal RNA", at positions 90 to 1235 of the family's 1311-position model. The record is from RNAcentral. Lineage: Eukaryota; Fungi; Microsporidia; Enterocytozoonidae.